This 446-nucleotide ribosomal RNA is filed under the name uncultured bacterium. RNAcentral's name for it is "partial 16S ribosomal RNA". It matches the Rfam family "Bacterial small subunit ribosomal RNA", at positions 338 to 795 of the family's 1533-position model. The record is from RNAcentral.
CCUACGGGUGGCUGCAGUCGAGAAUCAUUCACAAUGGGGGAAACCCUGAUGGUGCGACGCCGCGUGGGGGAAUGAAGGUCUUCGGAUUGUAAACCCCUGUCAUGUGGGAGCAAAUUAAAAAGAUAGUACCACAAGAGGAAGAGACGGCUAACUCUGUGCCAGCAGCCGCGGGAAUACAGAGGUCUCAAGCGUGGUUCGGAAUCACUGGGCGUAAAGCGUGCGUAGGCUGUGUCGUAAGUCGUGUGUGAAAGGCGCGGGCUCAACCCGCGGACGGCACAUGAUACUGCGAGACUAGAGUAAAGGAGGGGGAACCGGAAUUCUCGGUGUAGCAGUGAAAUGCGUAGAUAUCGAGAGGAACACUCGUGGCGAAGGCGGGUUCCUGGACAUUAACUGACGCUGAGGCACGAAGGCCAGGGGAGCGAAAGGGAUUAGAUACCCCAGUAGUC